RNAcentral lists this long non-coding RNA (418 nucleotides) under Mytilus galloprovincialis (Mediterranean mussel). Lineage: Eukaryota; Metazoa; Mollusca; Bivalvia; Mytilida; Mytilidae. The record is from RNAcentral.
GUUUGAAUUUUCUAGAGCAAUAAUUCUGUUCUGAACCAAAUUCAGCAAAAACUGUGCUAGUACCGUAGAGACAAAUGAGAGUUCUAAAACUAAAUUUCUAAACUAAUAAUUAGAUUAAACGGUUAAAGUCUUUCCGUAUAAAAUGUGCUUUGAUAGAAAAACCCCCGCACCAGUGAUAAACACGGUUAUAUAUUCAACAUAGUGCUUCUACAAUAUUCUAAUAUAAUGUUUGUUGUAUCAAUAUGAAAAAGACUAUUUGAUCGACGAAAAAUGAGCGACCAUUUGACAGCCUGCAUUUCAUUUUAUGCACCAAUGAAAAUUUUAAGGCUUAUUACAUCAUUACCAAAACACCGUUUGCAAAUCUUAAAUUAUAGUAUUAGAAGAAGUCUUUUAAUACUAUUGUGUUAUUAACUGGCUG